Molecule: unclassified non-coding RNA, 384 nt
Filed under: uncultured Tepidisphaerales bacterium
Lineage: Bacteria; Pseudomonadati; Planctomycetota; Phycisphaerae; Tepidisphaerales
Description: contains 16S-23S intergenic spacer region
Source: RNAcentral
UCCGGUUUGACACCGGCAGUCCCCUUAGAGUCCCCAGCAUAACCUGAUGGUAACUAAGGGCAAAGGUUUCGCUCGUUAAGGGACUUAACCCGACAUCUCACGACACGAGCUGACGACAGCCAUGCAGCACCUGUACCAGUUCCACCCCGAAGGGCGUACCCCACUUUCAUGGGGAUAAUCCUGGCGAGUCAAACCCAGGUAAGGUUCUGCGCGUUGCUUCGAAUUGAACCACAUGCUCCACCGCUUGUGUGAGCCCCCGUCAAUUCCUUUGAGUUUUAGCCUUGCGACCGUACUUCCCAGGCGGUCCACUUAGCACUUUUGCUUCGACCCUGAAUCCGUCAGAGGAACCAGGAUCUAGUGGACAUCGUUUAGGGCCAGGACUAC